RNAcentral lists this transfer-messenger RNA (76 nucleotides) under Fidelibacterota bacterium. RNAcentral's name for it is "partial transfer-messenger RNA". It matches the Rfam family "transfer-messenger RNA", at positions 298 to 374 of the family's 374-position model. Rfam says of the family: Bacterial tmRNA, also known as 10Sa RNA or SsrA, is named for its dual tRNA and mRNA-like properties. Lineage: Bacteria; Pseudomonadati; Fidelibacterota. The record is from RNAcentral.
AAAAGUCAAACUAAACAUGUAGAAACGAGAUGCAUCUCUGUUUUGGACGGGAGUUCGACUCUCCCCGCCUCCACAG